This 162-nucleotide unclassified non-coding RNA is filed under the name Devosia lucknowensis. Its description in RNAcentral is "caulobacter sRNA CC2171". The record is from RNAcentral. Lineage: Bacteria; Pseudomonadati; Pseudomonadota; Alphaproteobacteria; Hyphomicrobiales; Devosiaceae.
AACCAAUGCAAAGGAGGUGAUCCAGUGUCUUAUGAGAUUUUGGUGCUCGAAGAAGGUCUGGGAUUUCGUGUGAUGACUGGGAGUGAUCUCGGCUAAUCCACGCCUCCUCGGGUCUUACGAGACCGAUUAACUCAGGGAAGGGCCGCUCGCACGAGCGGCCCU